GUGGUUGCUUCGGCAGCACAUAAAGUAAAAUUGGAACGAUAUACAGAAGAUUAGCAUGGCCUCAGUGCAAGGAUGGCACACAUAUAUGUGAAGCAUUCCAUGUUUUG
RNAcentral lists this small nuclear RNA (107 nucleotides) under Salvator merianae (Argentine black and white tegu). The record is from RNAcentral. Lineage: Eukaryota; Metazoa; Chordata; Lepidosauria; Squamata; Teiidae.